AGUGAACGCUGGCGGCAUGCCUAACACAUGCAAGUCGAACGGCAGCACAGUAAGAGCUUGCUCCUACGGGCGGCGAGGGGCGGACGGGUGAGGAAUACAUCGGAAUCUACUUUUUCGUGGGGGAUAACGUAGGGAAACUUACGCUAAUACCGCAUACGACCUACGGGUGAAAGCAGGGGAUCUUCGGACUUUGCGCGAUUGAAUGAGCCGAUGUCGGAUUAGCUAGUUGGCGGGGUAAAGGCCCACCAAGGCGACGAUCCGUAGCUGGUCUGAGAGGAUGAUCAGCCACACUGGAACUGAGACACGGUCCAGACUCCUACGGGAGGCAGCAGUGGGGAAUAUUGGACAAUGGGCGCAAGCCUGAUCCAGCCAUACCGCGUGGAUGAAGAAGGCCUUCGGGUUGUAAAGCCCUUUUGUUGGGAAAGAAAAGCAGCAGGUUAAUACCCCGCUGUUCUGACGGUACCGAAAGAAUAAGCACCGGCUAACUUCGUG
Molecule: ribosomal RNA, 492 nt
Filed under: uncultured bacterium
Lineage: Bacteria
Description: partial 16S ribosomal RNA
Rfam family: Bacterial small subunit ribosomal RNA
Source: RNAcentral